This 253-nucleotide ribosomal RNA is filed under the name uncultured bacterium. Its description in RNAcentral is "partial 16S ribosomal RNA". It matches the Rfam family "Bacterial small subunit ribosomal RNA", at positions 524 to 776 of the family's 1533-position model. The record is from RNAcentral.
GACAGAGGUGCCGAGCGUUAGGCGGAAUCACUGGGCUUAAAGCGUGUGUAGGCGGAUCGUUAAGUACCUUGUGAAAUCCCCCGGCUCAACCGGGGAACUGCUGGGUACACUGGCGAUCUUGAGCGAUCUAGGGGCAGAUGGAACAAGUGGUGGAGCGGUGAAAUGCGUAGAUAUCGCUUGGAACGCCGAAGGUGAAAACAGGUUGCUGGGGUUGUGCCGACGCUGAGACACGAAAGCCAGGGGAGCAAACGGG